RNAcentral lists this transfer RNA (63 nucleotides) under Micronecta sahlbergii. RNAcentral describes it as "tRNA-Ala". The record is from RNAcentral. Lineage: Eukaryota; Metazoa; Arthropoda; Insecta; Hemiptera; Micronectidae.
AGGGGUGUAGUUUAUACAAAACGUUUAAAUUGCAAUUAAAAAAACCAAUUAUUGGCACCCUGG